This 271-nucleotide ribosomal RNA is filed under the name uncultured archaeon. Its description in RNAcentral is "partial 16S ribosomal RNA". It matches the Rfam family "Archaeal small subunit ribosomal RNA", at positions 477 to 747 of the family's 1478-position model. The record is from RNAcentral.
CAGCGCCACAAGUGGCAACCACUAUUAUUUGGCCUAAAGCGUCCGUAGCUGGUUUGGUAAAUUUUCUGUGAAAUUGUUAGGCUAAACUUAACUUCGAGCAGAAAACACUGCCAGACUCGAGACCAGAGGGGGUAAGAGGUAUUCUUAGGGGAGCGGUAAAAUGCUAUAAUCCUAAGAAGACCACCUGUGGCGAAGGCGUCUUACCAAUAUGGUUCUGACAGUGAGGGACGAAAGCUAGGGGAGCAAACCGGAUUAGAUACCCGAGUAGUCC